CAGUAGCCACGGUAAUACGUAGGGUGCAAGCGUUAAUCGGAAUUACUGGGCGUAAAGCGUGCGCAGGCGGUUCGUUAAGACAGAUGUGAAAUCCCCGGGCUUAACCUGGGAACUGCAUUUGUGACUGGCGAGCUAGAGUAUGGCAGAGGGGGGUAGAAUUCCACGUGUAGCAGUGAAAUGCGUAGAGAUGUGGAGGAAUACCGAUGGCGAAGGCAGCCCCCUGGACAAAGACUGACGCUCAGGUGCGAAAGCGUGGGGAGCAAACAGGAUUAGAUACCCCUGUAGUCCCUGUCUCUUAUAC
Molecule: ribosomal RNA, 301 nt
Filed under: uncultured bacterium
Lineage: Bacteria
Description: partial 16S ribosomal RNA
Rfam family: Bacterial small subunit ribosomal RNA
Source: RNAcentral